Molecule: ribosomal RNA, 305 nt
Filed under: uncultured bacterium
Lineage: Bacteria
Description: partial 16S ribosomal RNA
Rfam family: Bacterial small subunit ribosomal RNA
Source: RNAcentral
ACAGCAGCAGCCGCGGUAAUACGUAGGUGGCAAGCGUUGUCCGGAAUUAUUGGGCGUAAAGGGCUCGCAGGCGGUUUCUUAAGUCUGAUGUGAAAGCCCCCGGCUCAACCGGGGAGGGUCAUUGGAAACUGGGAAACUUGAGUGCAGAAGAGGAGAGUGGAAUUCCACGUGUAGCGGUGAAAUGCGUAGAGAUGUGGAGGAACACCAGUGGCGAAGGCGACUCUCUGGUCUGUAACUGACGCUGAGGAGCGAAAGCGUGGAGAGCGAACAGGAUUAGAUACCCGUGUAGUCCCUGUCUCUUAUAC